AGUGAACGCUGGCGGUAGGCCUAACACAUGCAAGUCGAACGGCAGCACAGUAAGAGCUUGCUCUUACGGGUGGCGAGUGGCGGACGGGUGAGGAAUACAUCGGAACCUACUUUUUCGUGGGGGAUAACGUAGGGAAACUUACGCUAAUACCGCAUACGACCUACGGGUGAAAGUAGGGGAUCUUCGGACCUUGCGCGAUUGAAUGAGCCGAUGUCGGAUUAGCUAGUUGGCGGGGUAAAGGCCCACCAAGGCGACGAUCCGUAGCUGGUCUGAGAGGAUGAUCAGCCACACUGGAACUGAGACACGGUCCAGACUCCUACGGGAGGCAGCAGUGGGGAAUAUUGGACAAUGGGCGCAAGCCUGAUCCAGCCAUACCGCGUGGGUGAAGAAGGCCUUCGGGUUGUAAAGCCCCUUUGUUGGGAAAGAAAAGCAGCAGGUUAAUACCCCGCUGUUCUGACGGUACCCAAAGAAUAAGCACCGGCUAACUUCGUG
Molecule: ribosomal RNA, 492 nt
Filed under: uncultured bacterium
Lineage: Bacteria
Description: partial 16S ribosomal RNA
Rfam family: Bacterial small subunit ribosomal RNA
Source: RNAcentral